RNAcentral lists this ribosomal RNA (200 nucleotides) under uncultured bacterium. RNAcentral's name for it is "partial 16S ribosomal RNA". It matches the Rfam family "Bacterial small subunit ribosomal RNA", at positions 1300 to 1500 of the family's 1533-position model. The record is from RNAcentral.
GUAGUCUGCAACUCGACUACAUGAAGCUGGAAUCGCUAGUAAUCGCGGAUCAGAAUGCCGCGGUGAAUACGUUCCCGGGUCUUGUACACACCGCCCGUCACACCAUGGGAGUCGGGAAUGCCCGAAGUCAGUGACCCAACCGAAAGGGGGAGCUGCCGAAGGCAGGCCUGGUAACUGGGGUGAAGUCGUAACAAGGUAUC